CCAUAAGGCCUUCUGGUCUCCGAUGUCAGGGAACACACGUGUGGGUCCUGACUCUCAGCCUUGUCUGACCCUCACUGCACGUGGAAAGCAGCCCGGCGUCUGCUGGUGCGCAGGUGCUGAGCAGGUCUCAGCCUCCGUGGACUCACUGGUAACACAGACAAGGCCUGUAAGAACCGGGCUUGUUCCAGCCCAAUCCUGGUGCCAACAGGAGCAUGGAGACUCCUCACGGGGCCACUCAGAACUCCCACUUGGUGAAGAAAACCUUCCCGAAUGUUCCACACGCCAGGAGAGGGGCCCUGCGGCUGCGUCUUCAUGUAUCAGGUUAGCUGGCAGCUCAUUUCCAGUCCUGGAAACAAAUGAUGGACACAAAUGACAUCACCGAAUACGGGUACCAGAACCAUCAGAAGUUUUCUGCAUUACAUUGAAUCUGGCUUGAAGCCUUUGAGAUAUGAGAUCUGCCCAAUAUCCGUCAUCAUGAGGGACCCACAGGUAGAGAUCAGGGCAGGUGAGCUCACGAACUUAGAGAAAAGACAUCUAGCUGCCAAGGCAGCGUUGUAAAUCCAGCUACUCAUUGCUCAAGCACAAGCCUUCCUUCAAGACCGGCAACUCCUCUCUCCUCACAGCCCGCAAAGAGGCAGGAUUGUUCUGCUGCAGCUCCAGUAUGUCUGCUUUUGAGACCCUCUCCACCAGAAUCCUCGGGGUACCCUGGCAUGUCCUCAUCUAGACAACUGGAUAAUGCGCAAACAUCAUGUUCUGCCAAGAGUUUAGAAGUAGACGGGGGUUAGAGAUGUCUCUCCACCUUGCUACCAAGUCAGGUCCCUUUGGGGACAGGAAGUGAAGAGCUAUUAGUGUUUACAACUGGACAACAGGCAUAAACCAAAACUGUGCAGGCAGAGAAGGUCCUACGUCACUGCCUUCAUGAGGGAAAUUGAUCUCAGCAAAACCUGGCUACACUUGCAGACACUUGACGGCAAACAAAACAGACAGAACUUGUUAGAGACGGGUCUUGACCCACGGGUACACUGCUCAACAGAGAACCAGAAAUUCCCUCGACAGCGCCACCAUCACACCAGCUCAAGGCCAGCGACUGGCGAGAAGUACCGCUGCCCAGUGCUUUGUCUACAGUCUGCCCCACCCCGCCCCCAAGAGCACCUGUAGUAUCUGGCAGAGCCGGGGUCUUCGUCUCAAAUCCCACCCUGCCCAGCUUCACCCCUUCUCUGUCCUGCUUGUCCGGCUCCACGGGGCUCUUCCUAACCGAUGACUUGCUCUCAGCUCCUGAGAACCCAGGCUUAGCUGGUCAUACCAGCAGCAAGACUAAAAGGAUACAGAGCCUGAGUCUGAUCUGCUUUUGCUCUCCUCCUCGCAUCGCAAAAGCCAACAGAACCAUAAAGAGUCAUAAAGAAAAGCAUCUAGAAAUGAAUUAUUUACAGAGACCUUCAUUUUGGUAAACUAAUUCUUUUGGACCCUUCCAAGUGAGACCUUUACUAAAUCAAAACAGUUGAAGGAAACACUAAUAGCAUAGAUUAUUGUAUAUUAUUUUUCAAUAUGCUUCCUAAUGGCUUGAUGUUUGUCUAACAUGGAGAUUCCAUGGGCCAUUUCUAAGGCAAGUGGUAUGAACUCCCCAAAGCUUCUAAAACUGGCCUGAAAGUGGGACUCCGGUCAGCUUCCGUCAUGAAUGAGGGCAACUCAAAAGGAAACAUGAUAAGAAAUGGGACCCGUAACACAGGACCAAUGGAGCCCAGUGGUCCUCUCUGGCUUGGCAUGAUGUUGAGUUUUGAAGGUGUACCCCUUCUUGUCCCCCAUCCCAGAUCCAUGGAUGGAAAGCUCCAUACUAUAAACCUGGGUCACACUCAGUGACAACGAGUAGAAGCCAUCAGGUUCCACAGUGUCAGUGCUCAAUGAACCAAGUUCACUGCCGCGGUGAAGGGCGUGACCCCUUUUGCUAAUAGCAUAGAGAAGCGGCAAAAAUAUGACACAAUUCCAGACGUGUAUGUCUGUGGGUCAUGGUUCUAUGUGUCUUUUCUUUAAGGUAAAACAAAUACUUAAGUUGAAUUAAAAUUCCGUUAAGACGCAGAGUUUGAUGAAAGCAAGCGUGUGGCUCAUCAUAUUUUAAUAUGUAGCAGGUUUUUCCUUCAAUAAAUCAUAGAUAUGAGUUUAUUUUAAAUACGUAUUUUCUUCUCUAGAGUGCUCACUGAAACACAAAGAUUCAGACUUUGGAAGCAAGAUCUUCCAUUCUCUUAGGAAAACUUUUAUUCAACAUGAUUUUUUCAAAACCGUACCAGUGGUCUCGGGGAAAGUUAGUUUCCUUAAUUGGAUAGGAGCAAAAUAAUCAGGAUUCUUCCCUCAAGCAGCAUUUUUCCUCAUUUUAUGUUGAAAUGUUUGAUAGCCUUUAAAAUGAUGAAUUGCAUGCCUCCAUUUUACACAUACAGUAUUUUUUCAAGUACUUUUCAUGUCAGUGAGACAGAGGAAUCUCUCAUACAGGAAGAACUCCGUGAAAAGGAAAAAAGCGGAGAACUCCCAGAAGCGGGUCUGGAUGGAGAGGCUGCUGGGUAAAGCAGCCCCUUUCCCUAGGAAGGAAGUUGUGCUUUCCCACCACGGGCCUGUGCUCCACCGUGAGCUUACAGGACACCAUCUCAAGCGGCACACAUUUGGCCAAAAUAUGUAGGAUUUUUACACCAAUAGUCAGAUGGUGGAUCCCUGUUGGGAAAAAGAACAAUCAUCUUGGAACAAAACCAUCAGCAAGAUCAUGAGGAAGAAGCUGUAAGAAAAGCGGGUGCCCUUGAGAAUAUCCUUUUUGAAAAGGAAGCAACGAGCCUUCUCCUAAAACCACCUCUGCCUUUUAUAAACUGUCACCUGGAAUUCAGUUGUCUCUUUUUGAUGUGUGCGACAUUGCUGGUUUCAUCUUUUGAUUUUCUGGACUGGGUUUGAUCAGAAAUCUCUGAAAAUGUACUUUGUGGAAACUUCUGUCAAGUGCCUGAAUGACAGUGUGAAAAAAUGUUUGGGGACGGAGAAAAAUCAGUGCAUAUGGGGCUGGGUGACAACUUCUUAAGGGAAACCUAAAAAUGGAGAUUUCUAGCCAAAAUGUUUAAUUACUGCCUAAUCAAGGCAGGCCAAGCCAUCUGUUGGCUGGGAUCUUGUCCCCACCUCUGGGGGUGCCUGGUGAUUGGCUGGCCGGGUGUGAGAGAGCCAUCUCCAGCUGACAUCUGUCAUCUGUCAACCUCCCAACUGCAGUGAUGGGUGAAGUUGCUAUAGGCUGUCAACGGGCCAUAUGGAAUGAUGAGUAAACGAACACACCGUGACCACAUCACAGACGCAGGGUGUUUAACAGGCAAACCAGCCGCUCACCAGCCAGUCUAGCCUAGACUGGAGGCCUGGAUUUUGUCCUGCUAGAGAAGGGGAGGGAAGUGGUGUCAUGGUUACAUGUUAGAAGCCACCUUGUCUUACACCUGUGCUGGAAAGGUGAAUGGAAUAAGUCAAUAAGCUCAUGAACAAGUUUAUCAAUUAACUUACAAAUGUAAGUAUUUUAGGGUGAAACUAUAAUAAAUCUAUACACAGGAAUCUACUAAUGUCAUGGAUAUUAACCCCAGGAGUCCAGUCAGUAGCAAAAAUCUCAGCUCCACUUAGCUGUGGCCACUCAUGAAAUUUUCUCAGUGGGUCUCAAUUCCAACUGCUCAUUGGACCAACUAAAUAAAAAUUGCAGUUGGGGGACCCAGGCGUAAAUAUACCUCAUAGCAAAUAUGAAAUAAGAAUCAAGGUAAGAUGUCUCGCCAUUUUGAAGGCAGAUAAAUAGCAAGCUGGAAGCCCUCCGUUGCUGGUAAUUGCAGUGGCAGAGCUCAUCGCGUGCCUGUCUGGCUCCAAAGUCUACGCUGACUCGUUUCAGCCCCUAACAUGGAUCUCGAGCUCGACCCUCAAAUUUGGAUCUAACUUGUCUUGCGAGGGAACAUUUCCGACUCCCUGGCCGCUCCCAUCCUGCCCAGCCAAGGCCAUCAGCCUCCUGCCCCCCAGGCGACACACCUGGAUCCCACCCUCCUCCACUGAGUUACAACAGGGGCCAAAUCCACACAGCAUCUUCGAUCCCUGGCCCCUGAACUCCCUCAUGCUAUGGGCCAUGCAGCCAAAAAAAGAAUUUUUUUAAAUUAAGAAAAUUUUUAAAACCCAACAAAGUAAAUAGGACUAUUUGAUUUUUGAUUUUUUUAAAAAGUGAAAGCCCAAUAGGCUUAAAAACCAUUUCAUCUCUCAUUAAUUCUGAGCUCUUUCUGGAACUGGGUGACAGUAUGUCUAAUAAAAGCAUUAAAGAUGCUUUUUUUGGGUACUUUCAAUGCAUUAAUUUGCUUAAAAUGAUACGUUAAGUUUUGGUUUUAAAAAUGAUACAUACUGGGCCUAUAAAAUUUGGAAAAGUAGAAAAAAGAAUGAUCAUGAGAAAAUCAUUGUUAAUAUUUUAAAGUGUUCUAUUUCAUUUAAAAAUUUUUAUUGGAAAAAAGAAACAAAACUGGAAAACAUGCUAAACUUAGAAUAAAAGUUUCUUCCCAAC
RNAcentral lists this long non-coding RNA (4531 nucleotides) under Sus scrofa (pig). Its description in RNAcentral is "lncRNA (ENSSSCG00025025188.1)". The record is from RNAcentral. Lineage: Eukaryota; Metazoa; Chordata; Mammalia; Artiodactyla; Suidae.